This 262-nucleotide ribosomal RNA is filed under the name uncultured bacterium. RNAcentral's name for it is "partial 16S ribosomal RNA". The record is from RNAcentral.
GGACUACAAGGGUAUCUAAUCCUGUUUGUUCUCUGUGCCUUCGUCCUUCAACGUCAGUUUUUACAUAGAGGGCUGCCUUCGCCUUUACAGAGUCCCUUUGGUAUCAGUAAAUUUCAUCUCUCCUCCUCAAGUACUGCCCUCUUACAUAAAACUCUAGUCAAGUACUAACAUUUUAGAAGCUAUUUUGACCGUUUGGGUACCCUUUAAACCUAAUUAAGAUGAAUAACACUAGUCUCUUACGUAUUACCGCGGCGGCUGGCAC